Long non-coding RNA from Cyprinus carpio (common carp), 2655 nucleotides. The record is from Ensembl. Lineage: Eukaryota; Metazoa; Chordata; Actinopteri; Cypriniformes; Cyprinidae.
UUACCGGCCACAAAAUGUCUGUUUUUUAUGUUGGGGACAGUGUAAUCCAGGUGUACUUAAUGAACAGAUUGAAUGUGAUGACAGAAAGUGAUCAUUAGCAUGCUAAUUGUGGUUGAUUUUCACAUUUGCUGAUUCUGAGGUAUUAGAUCUACUGUAGAAGUGUUGCUAGUUAGAGGCAGCAAAGUGCCUGGAUUUGAACUGUGGAAAUAGGGCUGUCUGAGCUGAGGUGUUAUGUUUCUGUCUCUCUCUGUCUGCAGGUGCCUGUUGAGAGUCAGCGCCCCCUGCAGGCCAGGCUGAAGCGCAGCAACAGUGUGCAGGAGAUGUUAAGUUCUUCCAAAACCAAACUGUUCAGACAGAGCAGCCUUCAACAACAAAGGGACCUGGAGCAUGGAUUGAAUGAACAGAGGGAUCUAACUAAAGCUAUUGCAAUUCAAGGCAGCAGAGCCCAAACACAGAGCCAGAGCACAGAUGAACAUGCAGGGUAUCAAAAUACACAUCCCUAUUUAUACAAAUAUAUGCCUAGACUUUGUAGCCAUGUAACACUCCAUGAUGUCUGCAGCCCCUCACCAGCAAAUGAAGACAAAAAACAGGAAGUAGAGUUAGCAGUCCACAGGAAGUGGACACACCUCUGCAGCAGAUUGACCAAGACAGCAGAGACAGAGCAAGGUGGAGAUAAAGAUCAGGAUCCAUCUGAGGUCUGAACACUCCUGAUUUUCUCCAAAUGUUUAUUUAAAGUUUCUGUUUGCUAAUGUUUAAUGUGUAGUCAUUUUAAUGUGGGAUUUAUUUUAAGUAAAGAACAUUGUGAUAUUUGUGUGUGUGUGUGAACAGAUCCUCGCUCCAUCUGUGUGUUUGUGGAGUGGAGCUGCUGUUUCUCUCUGUCUCCAGGAGAUUCAAUCCAACAUCUCACAACUCAAAGAACUGCAAAACUCAGCAGUAACAAAGGUGUCAGUAACAAACACACAUAACACACAGGAUUAAUGUUCAUAACAUUUUAAAAAGAUACGUAGCAUAACAUACUCUCUUUUCAAGAUCAGAGUACACAUUCAGUCAAUCCUGUCCAACUCGAAAACAAAUAUAUUUAACUGAACUUUCUGUGUGCAGGAUCAUCAAUCUCUGGAUGAAGGUCUAUUUGAGGUGUUGAGUGGAGUGGAUCUCACUCUCAGCUCGCUCACACACACUCUUAGGUUUCAGCUAGCAACCCUAAAUACUGACAUAUUAAACCAAUUAGAGCAGCUACAGGUAUUUAGCCAUCCAUCAGACCAUCAGUCUGUCACGUCAUUUAUCCAUUACUCUUCAUUUCUUCUCUGAUUUAUAGGGUUUAUCUGCAGAGCUGAUCUCCUUGGGUGCCAUAUUGACCUCCCAUGGAUCAGAGGUCAUAAAGUUGUUAGGUUUGGGUUCAGCGAUAUCAGAGACCUCCACUUGUUUUGACCUGCUGAGGCAGUAUGUAUGUGACGUACAAAAGACUCUCGCUGAUAAACAGGAGCAGCUACAGGAACGAUUAAAACACACGACUCAGCUGCAGGUCAGGUUUUUAUUAGCUUAUUACCAACACAAAGUGAUGAGAUGCAUGUGCAGUCACUUAAAAAUUUUCCUGCAGUUUAAGUUACUAGAAACAUGGUUCAGAAAAUUUGUGCUUAUGUGUUUACAGUGUUAUGUGUCAGCAGCAGUUACAUUUUUGCAGGUUUUAACACCCCAAACCUUCAGAUGUCUCGCCUUCAUAACUGUCACAAAUACUCACACUUGUUUGUUAUGAAACAACUUGUCAUCAUAAUGUCAGACAUAAUGUUCUCUUCAGUCUCAUGUUUAAUCCCAUAAUUCUAUCUCUGCAUUUAAGAUAUUUAUACUCUUUUGUACUUUUAUUUUGACCUUUUUUAUCAAGCAUGACUCAUUUGUAAUAUUUCCUUGUGUGUCGAACCCUGCAGAAGAGAGUGAAAGACCUGCAUGACUCAGUACUAACUAAUACGUCAGUCCUUCACCCUACAACUAAUGGAGAAACCCACUAUGACCUUCACACACAGCUGCAGGUAAGCACACGAGCCAGUGAAUACCACAGCUUGUAACACAUCAGGAUGAGUGUGUGAAGAUUAAACACUACUAGAGAAAUAAUACUCUUUAACAUAUCUGCAAGAAAAAAUUCUGAUGUCUUCCGUGUACAUAGGCUGACUUCGGUGCCACUUCACCUCUCUGCAUUUUAUAAGUUAUGUUUCCUCUGAAAGCCACUCAUAAUGCUAGCCAGGGUUUCUUGCACCAGAAAUAGUUUUUCUUAUUAGUUUUGAUCCACUCAUUUGAAUGGAAAAGCAUCAUUUGUUACUGCAGAUAUGUUGUAUAAUAUCAUUAGGUGUUCACUGUGCCUAAAUUCGAAGAUUUUGACCUUUCUGUAUUUGUGAUUCCACACGAAGGCCAUCACUGGAUGGAAACAGGAAGUGGAGCAGAGUGAGAGAAAUUUGGCAGAACUUAAAGAAGAGAUAGAGAGUCGAGAUCAGCCCUCAUCCCUCACACAGCAGAUCAGCACACUGGAGGUAUGGAUGUCCAGCAUUCAGAAUUUAUUAUAAUAACAAUUCAUUUCCUGUCGCCAAGUAUGGGACACAAUUGUAAUUAAAGUCAGAAUUUACUCAAUAUAAUAAAAUAAAUAUUAAAUUGUAAUAUACGGUAAUA